This 60-nucleotide microRNA precursor is filed under the name Mus pahari (shrew mouse). Its description in RNAcentral is "microRNA 6917 (MGP_PahariEiJ_G0007779.1)". Lineage: Eukaryota; Metazoa; Chordata; Mammalia; Rodentia; Muridae. The record is from RNAcentral.
GAAGGUGUGAAGGGGAGUUGUGCCACAGUCUUCAGCCUGUCACUUCUCUUCCUACCACAG